This is a non-coding RNA of Phrynosoma platyrhinos (Desert horned lizard), 72 nucleotides long. Lineage: Eukaryota; Metazoa; Chordata; Lepidosauria; Squamata; Phrynosomatidae. The record is from the annotation of a GenBank genome assembly.
GCCAUUGUGGUGUAGUGGUUUGCAUCUUGAGCCAAGACUCCAGGAGACCAGGGUUCAAAUCCCUGCUUGGCC